UAUUUAGAUUCCUUCAGAAAUCAAGAGUGGUUUUAGAAUCUACUAAGAAAUGAUGUCAAAAAAAGACAUAGCUCGACCUGGUCCUGGGGAGGGACUCCUGGGAAUUCAUGCAUUUACCAGACCAAAAUAACAAAAAGAACAAUGGCUUUUCCCCCAAACUCCCACCUAUAGGAGGAAGCACACUGGCUGCUUUGAUGACUCUAGAUACCAUAAUGAUCUCACAUUCUCUGAACAUCCAACAAAUUAACUUUGGUAGUAUUUAUUCUACCUACCAUGCUGACCAUGAGAGACCAGGAAUUGAGGUUCCAUUCUGGAGAAGGAGACUGAGAAAUGUCUACCACAUCAAAGGAAGUGUAAGGGAGGAAAGAAAGGAAGGAGGGAAAGAGGGGAGAUUGUGUGAGUGUGGGUGUAGAAUUCUUUCAUUUCAGUAAGCUUUUUGAUUGUGUGGUUGCUUAUUAGAGAAAUUGUUUACCUCUGACAGAGAAGGAGUGAUAAAAAUGACAAUACAGGAUUUUUUUCUAGCCUCCUCAAUUAGAAUGAGUACACUUUAAAUCCUUUAAGGAGGAUUCACUAGAGGGUGAGUCUGGUGCUAGCAGCAGUCAUAAUUCUACUCCAAAAUUCUAUAUUAAAAUUGCUAUACUUAUGAAGCUUGUAAUUGGGUUUGGUGAUCAACCUGGUGGUUUGCAAUAAGGCAAUCCACCACCUGUCCAAAACCCUGAUUCUCAGCCCCCCCCCAGAUGCUCUUAGCUGAUUAUAAUGGAUUUACUUUGAAAAAAAAAAUUAGUUUUCAAAGGAGACCCCAAGUCACCCCAGAGUGCUGACCUAUGUUGUUUGUUUUACUUGUUUGUUUUUGGAAUUGAGGCCAUGAUUAAGAGGGAUGACUGGGUUCAUUCUCAGUCCCAGGGCCAGCCAUUUUUUUCAUCAUUCAAGCAGCAGCAGCUUCUUUACCUAACCCACAUAGCAGGAAAAAGGAACUUUCUGGUAGAUAAUGAUCAUAG
Molecule: non-coding RNA, 998 nt
Filed under: Monodelphis domestica (gray short-tailed opossum)
Lineage: Eukaryota; Metazoa; Chordata; Mammalia; Didelphimorphia; Didelphidae
Description: Eukaryotic small subunit ribosomal RNA
Rfam family: Eukaryotic small subunit ribosomal RNA
Source: Rfam by way of RNAcentral